ACGCGAAAACUUUACAAUGCUGGCAACAGCGAUAAGGGAACCUCGAGUGCCAGGUUACAAAUCUGGCUGUCGUGAUGCCUAAAAAGCAUUGCAUAGCAAGGGCCGGGCAAGACCGGUGCCAGCCGCCGCGGUAACACCGGCGGCUCGAGUGGCAACCGUUAUUAUUGGGUCUAAAGGGUCUGUAGCCGGCCGGAUAAGUCUCUUGGGAAAUCUGGCAGCUCAACUGUCAGGCUUUCAGGAGAUACUGUCUGGCUCGAUGCCGGGAGAGGUGAGAGGUACUUCAUGGGUAGGGGUGAAAUCUUGUAAUCCUUGAAGGACCACCAGUGGCGAAGGCGUCUCACCAGAACGGACCUGCCGGCAAGGGACGAAAGCUAGGGGCACGAACC
RNAcentral lists this ribosomal RNA (386 nucleotides) under uncultured prokaryote. RNAcentral describes it as "bacterial SSU rRNA". It matches the Rfam family "Archaeal small subunit ribosomal RNA", at positions 339 to 725 of the family's 1478-position model. The record is from RNAcentral.